This 496-nucleotide ribosomal RNA is filed under the name uncultured bacterium. Its description in RNAcentral is "partial 16S ribosomal RNA". It matches the Rfam family "Bacterial small subunit ribosomal RNA", at positions 28 to 506 of the family's 1533-position model. The record is from RNAcentral.
GAUGAACGCUGGCGGCGUGCCUAAUACAUGCAAGUCGAGCUAACAGACGAGGAGCUUGCUCCUCUGACGUUAGCGGCGGACGGGUGAGUAACACGUGGAUAACCUACCUAUAAGACUGGGAUAACUUCGGGAAACCGGAGCUAAUACCGGAUAAUAUAUUGAACCGCAUGGUUCAAUAGUGAAAGACGGUUUUGCUGUCACUUAUAGAUGGAUCCGCGCCGCAUUAGCUAGUUGGUAAGGUAACGGCUUACCAAGGCAACGAUGCGUAGCCGACCUGAGAGGGUGAUCGGCCACACUGGAACUGAGACACGGUCCAGACUCCUACGGGAGGCAGCAGUAGGGAAUCUUCCGCAAUGGGCGAAAGCCUGACGGAGCAACGCCGCGUGAGUGAUGAAGGUCUUCGGAUCGUAAAACUCUGUUAUUAGGGAAGAACAAAUGUGUAAGUAACUAUGCACGUCUUGACGGUACCGAAUCAGAAAGCCACGGCUAACUACGU